Schizosaccharomyces pombe (fission yeast) is the source of this 2848-nucleotide non-coding RNA. The record is from the annotation of a GenBank genome assembly. NCBI's taxonomy places the organism in Eukaryota, Fungi, Ascomycota, Schizosaccharomycetes, Schizosaccharomycetales, Schizosaccharomycetaceae.
AAAAGCAAUAAGUAAACAUACUUAUUUAAGGGAAAGAAAAAGGGAAACAUAUGAUAUGGAAGGGAUUGACUGUAUCCAUCAAGAUAAUGAAAAGCGUGAGAAGAGUAAGGAGUUGGAACAAUCCAUUUGUGAUGAAGCUUAUGCAAAGGAGCGUAAAGCCAACGAUGAUGCAAAGCGCGGUGAAUCCAGUAAAUCAAAAAAUCAGAAAAUAGAAGGAAAAGCGCGAUGGAAAAGAAAAGAUAAAAGUAACCAUAUUCAUCAAGCUUAUCAUAAACAUAACCAUAUCCACGAAUUUCAGCAAGAAACCAAGGAGCUGUCAGAAUAGCCAUACCGGGUAGAUUUUUUAAAGCAACCAUCAAUUCCAGAUGCUCCUGAUUUUUUAAAAAUUUAGGGUGCCUUCUGGCCUCCUCUCGAUCAAAGUACACAUAAUAUGCAAAACUGGCAGACAAAAAGUAAGACAAUGUGCCCAUAAUCCAGGUAAUGAGGAACAGGCUGGUGAAUUGACGCCACACAUUGUUACGAUCAAGUAAUCCCGACGUGAUAGCAAAGUUUACUUUCUCAGCAAGACCCAAGGUGGUAGAAUUUACAGCAGUAUUAGCAAAAGAGGAUGAGCUAUCGAACGAUUCAGCAAUCUUUCCAUAAAAGGUGUCAAAGACAUAUUUAUCAGCGUACUGCAAAACGACAUCCAUUUUUUUUGAAUUACAGGAAGAGAUUGGUCACAAAAAAAAAAUGCAGUUGAAUACGUUUGUAAUUGAAAUAAUAAAGCUAAAAAAUAAAAAAAAUCUCGAUUGUUCUCCGGCGAAAAAUGAGUAUGAUAAAGAAUAACUAGAAAAUCCGAUUCAAUCCAGCAAAAAUUCAACUUCCAAAAGGGAACACGAUCGAUUUAAAAUAAAAACAAAUCAACCGAUUCUAGCAAUAAUAUGUAAUUAAAAAAAACUGAUUCAAGACUUGGUAUCUCAGGAUGGCAAAGUUUACAGUUAGCAAAACUGGGAAUGCCUUCCUUAUAUAUCAUCAGAUAUCGAUAGACCACAUUAGAUAUCGUUAUCCUAAUUUUGCCCGAUCGAAAAGUAAAUAAAAUCAGCCGAAUUGCUCGAAUUGAAAAACUAGGAGAAAAUCUUGUUUAGCCCACGAUUACAAUUCUUCUGAUUAAUAUCCAUACAUAUCUAAAUUAAAUAAUACUACUAGGAAUAUAAGAGUAGUGAGCUUUAAUUGAGAUAUAAAAAAGAGAGCAUAUUUCUUUGUUGUAUUAAAAGUCAUUGAAAUAUUAAGGAAUACUAAAACAUUAGGAUUAGUUUUUGAGCAUUUACAUUGGUCAAUCUUUAAUUGGCAAUCAUCGGAGUAAAAUCUGAAUCUUUAUUUAUGAUCAUGCAAUGUCAUUUAUGUGCAUAGCAGCAAACUCAUUUUCAAAGAAACCUGUAUCACUGCGCUCAAAAGAGUAGGACCACAAAGAUUCCGGGAUGUAUUCCAUCAUGUUGCUUGCAGCAAGCUCUUCAAUUGAUUUUUUUAACCUCAUUUCCUCUAGGAUACAAAACUGAUAUAAAGACUUGCACUUUUUCCCAUAUAGGCGAAUAUGAUAAAACCUUAUUAAAAUAGCCAAGAAUGUUUCUUGAAGUUGCGCUGAGCGGUAAGUGUCAGAGCCAUUUUCGUGAAACAUCCAACUAUCUCGAAGAUCUAAAGAACAAUUUAGGUAUAUCUGCGUUAUUAUACUCAUAUUGGCUUGCUUCCAUUUUAGGCCAAGAAAAGGUACACUUAAUUUUAACACCUUUAGUGCAUAUAGACGAAGCUUAUCGUGAGGGAUGGCUAGUAACUUCUUUAGAUUUUCGUGCAAGUUACUCCUUGCAAUGAUCUCCUUCCUUAUAUUUGAAUAUUUACAAACUUUCUCCAAAACGCGUAAACAGUUCAUCGUUAUAAGUAAGUUUCGAGAAGACGAGGCUCUUGUAAUCACAGGAAUACUGACUCUGUCAUAUUUAUACAUUUUCGAGGAAUAUGAAAAGAAUCCUCCGCGCACGCACUUUACAUCCUUUUCGGUAUUCCUAUUACAAUCCCCUUCUGUAAGGUGACGAUUGAAAAUUUCCAAAAAAUGAUUUUCAUACAAUAAAAAUGCUAAUCUUUCAAAACGUAGCACAUGAGACAAGCGAAACCAUUUCAACAUCAUCAAAAAUAGACUUGACAAAGAAUAUAGCACAAAUUCGAGGUUAUUUAUUGAAUGAGAAAUCUCACCCGAAAUUGCGAAUCCUGUUGCAAAGUCUUCCGUAUAUUCAAUUUUUACAUUAGACUUACGAUUCCUAGCAGCCUGUUCACUUAAUUCUUCAGUAGGCGAGUCUACAACUGCAUUGUCUUGAAUUCGUUGUAAAACAGCGUCUGAAGAAGAGAAAGCCUCUACGUAAAGGCAAUUAACUUUUUUUGAAAUAUGGUAAAACAGUUGGACUGCUAACUGAAUAAAAUUAUCCAUAUACGGGAAUAAGUCAUCAUAGGAUUGAGAGACAAAUUUAAGAACAGGAUCUUCUGUUUCAAAUGAAUGAGCAGGUCCCUUCACUGAAUUGUAAAACUCAUGCAGAUCUGCAACGAGUCGUUGCUGCAAAGUAAAGCGACGUAAAAGCUCUCUUUCAGAUAACAAUUGUUCAACCGCUAGAGUUCUCUUCGUUUUAUUUUGGAAAACAUUGGCAGCCUCUGUAACACUGUAAGGUAUUGUAAGCUUCUCCAAGUUAGGGGUAAAGCAAAAUGGUAAAUUUUGGUUAGUUUGAAAUUGUUCCCUUCGAGCGGACAUUUUGCUGGUUUUUGCAGUAUUCACCAAAAGUGAUGGAUUUUCGGGUGAGCAAAGUCGGGUACUAGAUAUAAAGGAUGAUUU